UACAGAGGGGGCAAGCGUUGUUCGGAAUUACUGGGCGUAAAGGGCGCGUAGGCGGCCUUCUAAGUCGAACGUGAAAUCCCCGGGCUCAACCCGGGAACUGCGUCCGAUACUGGAAGGCUUGAAUCCGGGAGAGGGAUGCGGAAUCCCAGGUGUAGCGGUGAAAUGCGUAGAUAUCUGGAGGAACACCGGUGGCGAAGGCGGCAUCCUGGACCGGCAUUGACGCUGAGGCGCGAAAGCCAGGGGAGCAAACGGG
Molecule: ribosomal RNA, 253 nt
Filed under: uncultured bacterium
Lineage: Bacteria
Description: partial 16S ribosomal RNA
Rfam family: Bacterial small subunit ribosomal RNA
Source: RNAcentral